Molecule: ribosomal RNA, 257 nt
Filed under: uncultured bacterium
Lineage: Bacteria
Description: partial 16S ribosomal RNA
Rfam family: Bacterial small subunit ribosomal RNA
Source: RNAcentral
AGCGAACGCUGGCGGCAGGCUUAACACAUGCAAGUCGAACGGGCGUAGCAAUACGUCAGUGGCAGACGGGUGAGUAACGCGUGGGAACGUACCUUUUGGUUCGGAACAACUGAGGGAAACUUCAGCUAAUACCGGAUAAGCCCUUACGGGGAAAGAUUUAUCGCCGAAAGAUCGGCCCGCGUCUGAUUAGCUAGUUGGUGAGGUAAUGGCUCACCAAGGCGACGAUCAGUAGCUGGUCNGAGAGGAUGAUCAGCCAC